Molecule: ribosomal RNA, 492 nt
Filed under: uncultured bacterium
Lineage: Bacteria
Description: partial 16S ribosomal RNA
Rfam family: Bacterial small subunit ribosomal RNA
Source: RNAcentral
AGUGAACGCUGGCGGUAGGCCUAACACAUGCAAGCCGAACGGCAGCACAGUAAGAGCUUGCUCUUACGGGUGGCGAGUGGCGGACGGGUGAGGAAUACAUCGGAAUCUACUUUUUCGUGGGGGUUAACGUAGGGAAACUUACGCUAAUACCGCAUACGACCUACGGGUGAAAGCAGGGGAUCUUCGGACCUUGCGCGAUUGAAUGAGCCGAUGUCGGAUUAGCUAGUUGGCGGGGUAAAGGCCCACCAAGGCGACGAUCCGUAGCUGGUCUGAGAGGAUGAUCAGCCACACUGGAACUGAGACACGGUCCAGACUCCUACGGGAGGCAGCAGUGGGGAAUAUUGGACAAUGGGCGCAAGCCUGAUCCAGCCAUACCGCGUGGGUGAAGAAGGCCUUCGGGUUGUAAAGCCCUUUUGUUGGGAAAGAAAAGCAGCAGGUUAAUACCCCGCUGUUCUGACGGUACCCAAAGAAUAAGCACCGGCUAACUUCGUG